AGCGAACGCUGGCGGCAGGCCUAACACAUGCAAGUCGAACGAACUCUUCGGAGUUAGUGGCGGACGGGUGAGUAACACGUGGGAACGUGCCUUUUGGUUCGGAAUAACUCAGGGAAACUUGUGCUAAUACCGAAUGUGCCCUUCGGGGGAGAGAUUUAUCGCCAUUAGAGCGGCCCGCGUCUGAUUAGCUAGUUGGUGAGGUAACGGCUCACCAAGGCGACGAUCAGUAGCUGGUCUGAGAGGAUGACCAGCCACACUGGGACUGAGACACGGCCCAGACUCUACGGGAGGGAGGAGUGGGGAAUCUUGCGCAAUGGGCGAAAGCCUGACGCAGCCAUGCCGCGUGAAUGAUGAAGGUCUUAGGAUUGUAAAAUUCUUUCACCGGGGACGAUAAUGACGGUACCCGGAGAAGAAGCCCCGGCUAACUUCGUG
This 432-nucleotide ribosomal RNA is filed under the name uncultured bacterium. RNAcentral describes it as "partial 16S ribosomal RNA". It matches the Rfam family "Bacterial small subunit ribosomal RNA", at positions 29 to 507 of the family's 1533-position model. The record is from RNAcentral.